CCCUUAGAUGUUCUGGGCCGCAAGCGUGCUACACUGAGUGGAUCAGCGGGUCAGGUUGCGCGAAAGCGUUUCCUAAUCUUUAAAUCCGCUCGUGAUGGGGAUUGACGGUUGCAAUUUUCUGUCAUGAACGAGGAAUACCUUGUAAGCGCGGGUCAUCAUCCCGCGCUGAAUACGUCCCUGCCCUUUGUACACACCGCCCGUCGCUCCUACCGAUUGAGUGGUCCGGUGAGGCUUUGGGAUCUGAGCGGAAAGAGCGUUUCGCUGUUUCUGCUCGGAAAACUCAGUCGAACCUUAUCAUUUAGAGGAAGGAGAAGUCGUAACA
Molecule: ribosomal RNA, 322 nt
Filed under: uncultured eukaryote
Lineage: Eukaryota
Description: partial 18S ribosomal RNA
Rfam family: Eukaryotic small subunit ribosomal RNA
Source: RNAcentral